AGUUUACACUUGAUCUUUGAACUGUAGGUAAGUUCAGUUGUUGACAAGUUAUUAACUUAUGCU
Molecule: small nucleolar RNA, 63 nt
Organism: Prunus persica (peach)
Lineage: Eukaryota; Viridiplantae; Streptophyta; Magnoliopsida; Rosales; Rosaceae
Rfam family: Small nucleolar RNA snoR101
Source: Rfam